Long non-coding RNA from Manis javanica (Malayan pangolin), 860 nucleotides. RefSeq lists it as uncharacterized. The record is from RefSeq and is a predicted model, not a curated record. Lineage: Eukaryota; Metazoa; Chordata; Mammalia; Pholidota; Manidae.
CUUAGCAGAUGCUUGAUGGACGACUGUUGCAUGAGAGACUGAAGCACACCAGUCUUAAGGGUGGUUACAAGGACUGACCGAGGAACACAGCAAUGGGCUCAGAGAUGGUCAUGAUCCGAAGUCAACCAGAGGCAUUUCCGAUUCCUGAUGGCCUUGAGGAUGAGCAGAUGUAAGAGCUGGAACUCCUGCAGCCAUUUCUAAACCAGGAGGAAAGUGAAGCCAUCAGAGCACUCUGCAGCAUUUCUCAGCUGGAGUUUGUAUCUGGGUGCAAAUGUGUGACCCGAUUUGGACAAUGGAACAGCAAUUAGGGUGUUUCAAGCCAAAGCUUGAAAAACGCUUGUACACUGGGGCUUGUUCGCCCUUUCCUUCUGCUUUGGAGCCCAGCCUCUGGCGAAGAAGUCCAGCUAGCCUGCUGGAUGAUGGGAGACAUGAGAACCACUUGUCACUGUCACUCUGGCCAAUAGCCAACCAAUUGCCAGAUCUGUGAGUGGAGCUGUCCUUGGUCAUCCAGCUACCAGCUGACUACAGACACAUGAAGACGCUCAGCAGGCCCACCCAGACCACAGGAACUUUGCAGCUGACACACAGACUCAUGCACAAAAUGAAAGGUCUCUGCUGUCUUUAGCCUGUGGCUUCCAUCUUGGAUCACUGAAGUUCGCUUUGCCAACUUCUCCCAUCGUGUCUUCCUUUCAGCCAGUUGGAAAGGGAGGAGGUACUGGAGACACUCCACUUUCCCUUAAAGGCAUGCCUCGGGAGUUCAGAGGUAACUUUUGCUCAUUUCCAUUGGUUAAUGUAAUCACAUGUCCGCCCCCACGUGAGAAGGAGGCUGAAGCAAUGUUGGCUGUAUGCUGGACAGUUUG